Molecule: ribosomal RNA, 72 nt
Filed under: Clostridioides difficile
Lineage: Bacteria; Bacillati; Bacillota; Clostridia; Peptostreptococcales; Peptostreptococcaceae
Description: partial 23S ribosomal RNA
Source: RNAcentral
UGGUCAAGUUAUUAAGGGUGCAGGGCGGAUGCCUUGGCACUAGGAGCCGAUGAAGGACGUGAUAAGCUGCGA